AUCCUGUGUCGUGUUUCCUUUGCCGGCGAGGGGUCGCGACAAUCAGGAGAUAUGGAGUCAACCAACUGUGAACUGAACCUCUGAAACUGUAGCAAAAGACUAGUAAGAAACUUUGCAGAGAAAAGGGAACUAGACCAGCACAGAGUGGUAAUUCGUCUCUAAGCCAUAACUUCACUUCUGGAAAUCUGCAAAAUCUAUAACUCCCUACAGCAAUUGACAUGGAUAAAAGAAGCCCUGACCAAUCAGAGGUGACAUGAUCUUACUAUUUCACCCAGGCGUGGCUCAAGGGAUAAGUGAUUCAGGAACCUCAGUCUCCUGAGUAAUGGGUAACACUGAUGUGUCCCACCAUGUCUUACUAUUUAAUUAUUUUUCAAUUAUCCAAUUAUUCCAAAUUUUAGUUUAGUUGCAAUACAUUUAUUUUUUCCCUGCCUUACAAUAUUGUAUAGUGACCUCAAAUUUUUAAUUGGUUUUCCCAUUGAAAUUUAUUUUUUGUCCAUUAUGAAGUGAAAUACCAUGAACAAUUCUUGGAAAUGUCUUCUGAUACACAUAGCUAAAAUUUAUCUUGGGCCUAUAUCUAGCUCUAGAUUUAGUGAGUCACAGGCUAUGUGAAUAUUCAACUUUGUGAAACAAUGACAUAUUGUUUUCUGAAGUUAUUAUACUAAUUUUCACUUACACCAAUAAUGUAAAAGAUUAUCCUUUGAUUUACAUGGGUAUUGUCAAACUUCCCAGCUUUAUUCAGUGAAGUGGUUGUAGAAUGGUCUCUCAUUAUGUCCUGAAUUUAAAAUUUUCUGGUUACUAGAAAGAUUGAUGUUUGUGCAUAUGGCUGUUCAAUACACACUCAAACCAACAUCUCUUGACCUUUUCCUUAUUGAUAUGUAGAAGUUUUUUAUAGUUUCAUACUAGAAAUUCUCUGUUGAUUAAAUAUGCUUCCCUUAUUUUAUCCUGUUUUUAUCUUUAAUAUUUUUAAAGAUGUCUUUUGAUAAACUCAACUUUCUAAUGUCAAGAUAGCCAAAAGUAUUAUUAUUUUUAGAUAUGGUCAGGACUUUCUGUGUUUCCUCAAGUCCUCCCUAUGUUCACAUGAGAUAAAUAUUCACCCAUUUUAUUUAUCAGUUUUAAAAUUAUUCUUUUCAUGUUUAACUGCUUAAUCUGUCUGGAGCAUUUUUCUGUGCCUGGUGUUAGAGAUCUUAUUUUUAACAUAGGUAUAGUGAAACUUUUACCUACAUGUCUUGAGUCAGUCCUUCAUAAUUUGUUUUGCUACGUCUCUGUUAUCUGCAGUUCUUAUUAAGUGACUCUACUUCUGGGUCACUGUUCUUAUGGGUCAGAACCUCCUUCCUCCAUAAAUGCUGCACUGCCUUAAUUAACUGUGUGUUGUUGUAAGUUUCUCUGUCUUUUCAAAUUUUUUCCUCAAAAUUAUAUUGGAUCUCUUUCCUAAUUCAAAAAUUUAUACUCAUUUUGUAAACAUUAUUUUACUCUGAAAUACAGAACACAAAGAGGUGCAUAAAAUAUAAAUGUGCAACUGCUUAAAAUAUUAUAAUGUAAGCAAAAAGAAAUAGAACAAGUCUUUACCCUCAGAGGCAGCUCAAAAGUCUAUUCUCAGUCAUAAUCUCCUUCUGUUACCUGAAUGUGAUCAGUGUGUGACUAUUAUUGAUAGUCACUACCUUGCUGUACUUUAUAUCAAAGUGUGCUAUAACAAAGUAGUGUAAUUUUGGCUGAUUUUGAAUUAUUUUAUUAGUGGAAAAUAUAGAAUUAUUUUGUGUCUGGCUUUAUUUGAACAACAUUAUAUUGUAUAGAUUAAUCCUUGGUGUGACAUAUAAAUUUAGUUCAUUCAUUUCUAUUUCUAUAUAGUAUUCUACCAUGUAAAUAAAUACUACAAUGAAUGUGUCUGCUAGACAUCUGGGUUGGUUCCAAUUUGGAGUUAUUAAGAAUAGU
Molecule: long non-coding RNA, 1929 nt
Organism: Ictidomys tridecemlineatus (thirteen-lined ground squirrel)
Lineage: Eukaryota; Metazoa; Chordata; Mammalia; Rodentia; Sciuridae
Source: RefSeq, a predicted model, not a curated record